CUACCAUGCAGUCGAACGAUGAACUCCAGCUUGCUGGGGGGAUUAGUGGCGAACGGGUGAGUAACACGUGAGUAACCUGCCCUUGACUCUGGGAUAAGCGUUGGAAACGACGUCUAAUACCGGAUACGACCCGCGAAGGCAUCUUCUUCGGGUGGAAAGAAUUUUGGUCAAGGAUGGACUCGCGGCCUAUCAGGUAGUUGGUGAGGUAAUGGCUCACCAAGCCUACGACGGGUAGCCGGCCUGAGAGGGUGACCGGCCACACUGGGACUGAGACACGGCCCAGACUCCUACGGGAGGCAGCAGUGGGGAAUAUUGCACAAUGGGCGAAAGCCUGAUGCAGCAACGCCGCGUGAGGGAUGACGGCCUUCGGGUUGUAAACCUCUUUUAGCAGGGAAGAAGCGAAAGUGACGGUACCUGCAGAAAAAGCACCGGCUAACUACGUGCCAGCAGCCGCGGUAAUACGUAGGGUGCAAGCGUUGUCCGGAAUUAUUGGGCGUAAAGAGCUCGUAGGCGGUUUGUCGCGUCUGCUGUGAAAACUGGAGGCUCAACCUCCAGCCUGCAGUGGGUACGGGCAGACUAGAGUGCGGUAGGGGAGAUUGGAAUUCCUGGUGUAGCGGUGGAAUGCGCAGAUAUCAGGAGGAACACCGAUGGCGAAGGCAGAUCUCUGGGCCGUAACUGACGCUGAGGAGCGAAAGGGUGGGGAGCAAACAGGCUUAGAUACCCUGGUAGUCCACCCCGUAAACGUUGGG
Molecule: ribosomal RNA, 749 nt
Filed under: Microbacteriaceae bacterium N4_00_2
Lineage: Bacteria; Bacillati; Actinomycetota; Actinomycetes; Micrococcales; Microbacteriaceae
Description: bacterial SSU rRNA
Rfam family: Bacterial small subunit ribosomal RNA
Source: RNAcentral